Molecule: long non-coding RNA, 2308 nt
Organism: Diospyros lotus (date-plum)
Lineage: Eukaryota; Viridiplantae; Streptophyta; Magnoliopsida; Ericales; Ebenaceae
Exons: 5
Source: RefSeq, a predicted model, not a curated record
UCCCAAAUCAGAAUUCCCUCCAAUCCUUAAUUCCCCCAAUCACAGCCUCUGAGGGACCCUCUGUACUCCCGGUCGCCUCCCUCUAUCGCCUCCGCCGCCUCAACGUUGCCUCAAUGCUAUCGCCGCCGCCUCCAACUCCAUCGCGGCCUCCUUGUCGCCGCCUCCAACUCCAUCUCUGCCUCCUCGCCACCGCUAAAUCUCCUUCUCACAUAGUGCUUGCCGUUUCUAGCCCAUCGCCUCCGCCUCCUCAGUGCUGCUGCCCCCCUGGACCCCUCGCCCUCGGUCGUCGCUCGCCCUCGCCGGCUCUCCCCCUGGCCCCCUCGCCCUCGGUCGUGUUUGGUGGCAUCCCUAGGAACCGUGUGUUUAUAUUAAUUAUAUGUGCUAAUGAGUGAAGAGAAUAGCUCUUUUGGAUGUUUGGGCAAACUUCAUUUGCUGUCAUCCCGAUUUCUCAGGGCUGCUUUCUUGGCUGAUUGCUGUUAUAGAUUUGGAGAAUUGGAUUCUUGAAUCUGACUUGCAAAUACAAGAAGAUAUAAGGAUAAAGAGACUGGGGGCAAAUAAAGUUGGAUUACUAAAAGCACAACAAUGAAAACUGUUGAGGCCUUACAUCUUACAAAGUCAAGCUUCUUAUACUAUAAAGUCAGAAGAGUGGGAUUGUUGAAAACCAAUAGAUAUACACUAAUUGAUCAGUUAACUCACCUUUUAUUAGAAGAUUCUACGGUCUGUGACCCACACUGAACACGAAAAGGAGACCAGAAAAAUUGGUCUUGGGAUAGUGAAUUGAAACAUCAAAUCAGAAUUAAUUUUGAAAAGACUGUCUUUGACCGUAUGACGGACAUAUUGUUUCGUGUUCGAAAAGAUUUGACUAAAAAACUAGCUUGGAUGUGUCCGCUGUAUUCGAAUCCUUAAAGAUUUGACAUAUUAAAUCGGGCCUUAGAUGUUGGGGCUAGUAUGCAUACCUGUGGUUCCAUUCUUAUGUCGGAGCAUAAGAAAAGACUGUCGAGACAAUUUGGUUGCCCACCCACACAGGUUGAGUUGUUCCUCGCAACACAUAAAAAGAAAGACAAUUUAGGAUUGGUUGAUAGGGGGUGACAAUGAUGAAAACAGCGGCGGGGGAGGCAAACCUACCUUUAAUGGCUGACAGACGAUGGUGAAUGGGUUCCAUAGUUGCCCUAAUAGCUUCUUGAAUUUGCUCUGCCAAUGAGCUCUACGACGGUGGUGGCGGGGGCGAUGGUACGUAGUAGGAAUUAGGGAUGACAUGCACUUCUAACGCCAUCCCAUAAACGCGACCCUUUUUCUUGCCGCCCGCAACCUCCAACCAUAAUGAUCUCUCAUCAAUAGCUGGCUGCGAGGGCUGGACAACGUCACUAUCUUCCGACUGGCCAAAUGUCGAUGCAUGUGAUGAUGUCUCGUGUUGCCACGUUUGGAAGUCAACCUGCAAGCAUCAUAGCUACAUGAAAUAAGUUAUAUUAUCAAAAUGUCAGUUAACCAUAAUAGAAUAAUAUAAAAAGACAGAAGUUUGAGCAUAAGAAAAGAUUGGUAAUAUUUGAUAUUUUUUAUUAUUUUUAUUUUACUCAAUUACUUUUUAAGAAACAAUAAUUUUUGCAUGAACGAAUUUUUUUUUCUCUUGCAGUCGUGGCAAUUUGGUUGCCCACCCACACAGGCUGAGUUGUUCCCCGUGACACAAAAAGAAAGACAAUUUAGGAUUCGUUGAUAGGAGGUCCGAUGAUACUUAUAUAAGUUUACAUUACUUGUGUCUUUUUAUAUUAUUCUAUUAUGGUUAACUGACCUUUUGAUAAUAUAACUUAUUUUAUGUAUCUAUGAUGUUUGUAGGCUGGCUUUUAGAUGUGGCAACACGAGGCAUUAUCAUAUGCAUCAGCAUUUGGCCAAUCGGAAGAUAGUGAUGUUGCCUAGCCCUCGCAACUAGCUAUUGAUCAUUAUGGUUGGAGGUUGCAGGCGAGAAGAAAAUGGGUUGCGUCUAUGGAAUAGGAUCAGAAGCGCAUGUCAUCUCUGGUUCCUACUACGUACCAUCGCCAUUGUCGUCGUCGUCAAGCUCAUUGGCAGAGCAGAUUAAAGAAGUUGUUAGGGUAGCUAUGAAACCCUUUCACCAUAGCAUGUUAGCCAUAGAAGGUAGGUUGCCUCUCUUGCCGCUGUCUUCAUCAUUAUUGCCGCCGAAUCCUUCGGAUCAUUAAAAAGAUAUGUUAUUGUUAUAGAUGAUAGAUGAUAGAUUUUACGAUGUAUUUUUAAUAUUUAUGGAUGAUGUGUAUAAUUUUAUGAAUUUAUUGUGUGGUAUGAAUGAUUUUUUUCAGUU